Molecule: ribosomal RNA, 465 nt
Filed under: uncultured Klebsiella sp.
Lineage: Bacteria; Pseudomonadati; Pseudomonadota; Gammaproteobacteria; Enterobacterales; Enterobacteriaceae
Description: bacterial SSU rRNA
Rfam family: Bacterial small subunit ribosomal RNA
Source: RNAcentral
CCUACGGGGGGCAGCAGUGGGGAAUAUUGCACAAUGGGCGCAAGCCUGAUGCAGCCAUGCCGCGUGUGUGAAGAAGGCCUUCGGGUUGUAAAGCACUUUCAGCGGGGAGGAAGGCGUUAAGGUUAAUAACCUUGGCGAUUGACGUUACCCGCAGAAGAAGCACCGGCUAACUCCGUGCCAGCAGCCGCGGUGAUACGGAGGGUGCAAGCGUUAAUCGGAAUUACUGGGCGUAAAGCGCACGCAGGCGGUCUGUCAAGUCGGAUGUGAAAUCCCCGGGCUCAACCUGGGAACUGCAUUCGAAACUGGCAGGCUAGAGUCUUGUAGAGGGGGGUAGAAUUCCAGGUGUAGCGAUGAAAUGCGUAGAGAUCUGGAGGAAUACCGGUGGCGAAGGCGGCCCCCUGGACAAAGACUGACGCUCAGGUGCGAAAGCGUGGGGAGCAAACAGGAUUAGAUACCCGGGUAGUC